Molecule: unclassified non-coding RNA, 358 nt
Filed under: soil metagenome
Description: partial contains 5.8S ribosomal RNA, internal transcribed spacer 2, and large subunit ribosomal RNA
Rfam family: 5.8S ribosomal RNA (bases 1-120)
Source: RNAcentral
GAUGAAGAACGCAGCGAAAUGCGAUAAGUAAUGUGAAUUGCAGAAUUCCGUGAAUCAUCGAAUCUUUGAACGCAUAUUGCGCCCUCUGGUAUUCCGGAGGGCAUGCCUGUCCGAGCGUCAUUACUAUCUUCAAGCACAGCUUGGUUGUUGAGCCCAAUUGUUUUUUCCCAAAACAGGCUUGAAAUGCAGCGGCGAUGCCAUGUUUGGUGCCCGAGUGUAUGGGGCUUUGUCACACACUUUUGUGGCCCAGCUGGCGUCUGCCUCAAGCAGCUGACACACCUCAAAGGAGUCAACUAAGAUUUGACCUCGGAUCAGGUAGGGAUACCCGCUGAACUUAAGCAUAUCAAUAAGAGGAGGA